GAUCAUGGCUCAGGAUGAACGCUAGCGACAGGCUUAACACAUGCAAGUCGAGGGGCAGCACAGGUAGCAAUACCGGGUGGCGACCAGCGCACGGGUGAGUAACGCGUAUGCAACUUACCUAUCAGAGGGGAUAACCCGGCAAAAGUCGGACUAAUACCGCAUGAAGCAGGGCCCCGCAUGGGGAUAUUUGCUAAAGAUUCAUCGCUGAUAGAUAGGCAUGCGUUCCA
Molecule: ribosomal RNA, 227 nt
Filed under: uncultured bacterium
Lineage: Bacteria
Description: partial 16S ribosomal RNA
Rfam family: Bacterial small subunit ribosomal RNA
Source: RNAcentral